UACGUAGGGUGCAAGCGUUGUUCGGAAUUAUUGGGCGUAAAGAGCGUGUAGGCGGCCAUCUAAGUCUGGUGUGAAAGCCCGGGGCUUAACUCCGGAAGUGCACUGGAUACUGGAUGGCUAGAGGGUGAGAGAGGGAAGUGGAAUUCCUGGUGUAGGGGUGAAAUCCGUAGAUAUCAGGAGGAACAUCGGAGGCGAAGGCGGCUUCCUGGCUCAUUUCUGACGCUGAGACGCGAAAGCGUGGGGAGCAAACAGG
This 253-nucleotide unclassified non-coding RNA is filed under the name uncultured delta proteobacterium. RNAcentral describes it as "contains 16S-23S intergenic spacer region". It matches the Rfam family "Bacterial small subunit ribosomal RNA", at positions 524 to 776 of the family's 1533-position model. Lineage: Bacteria; Deltaproteobacteria. The record is from RNAcentral.